Molecule: long non-coding RNA, 784 nt
Organism: Acromyrmex echinatior (Panamanian leafcutter ant)
Lineage: Eukaryota; Metazoa; Arthropoda; Insecta; Hymenoptera; Formicidae
Source: RefSeq, a predicted model, not a curated record
ACAUGUUAAUUAUUGUUUGUUAGUAUGUAACGCACAGGCAAGAGGCGCAUAUUGUAAAGCGAGCGAAGGAGAUGACACGCUCCGACUACCUGCUUACCCACGUGCACUUAUAUAAUGUUCUAGCUAAAAAUAUGAUACCAGCGAUAAACGAAAAAUACGCCAUCGCGACAGUGUCGUUAGUGCAUUGGAGUAGUGACAGUGCAACGUGAGAAGCUUUAUUACAAAAUAAAGACAGAACGAGUCGCUCUACCCGGCUGCAUUCGUAUUUACGCGGGUCAUCCUCCGUCACCCGGAUCGUCGACAUCAUCGGCGCGUCCCCAGGUGGCGUGCCACUUGGAUCGAACUUCGUACCGCCGUUAACAUCGUUAAUUCUCGAACGACCUCCUUCGCUGUUUUUUCCUGCCUCCCCACCGCCCCUUGCACCCAGUAUUCGCUGUAAUCGCUGGGUGUUGAGCAAACAACGUCGGGCGACGUGGUGUGCGUGCGUUGCGUGCAUAAUUUCGUAUUCCGCGUCGAUUCUUAUUCGACUCGCCUCGAUUCCGCACGCGCGCGCGCGCGUGCGCAUCUCGCCACGCGUAUUGCAGUUUGCAGUUUCCGCGGAAUCGAAGAGCAGAAGAGUCGGCCGCAUCGGAGUUAGAUCCGCUCCGGAAGAAUUUCGUGCGGCGAUGAGCGACGUGAAAUAGAGAAAAACACAGACGAAGGGGAAAAAGCGGACGCUGAUUAAUCAGCGAGAUAAACGAAAGAGAGAGAGAGAGAGAGAGAGAGAGAAAGAAAGAGAAAGAGA